RNAcentral lists this ribosomal RNA (445 nucleotides) under uncultured bacterium. RNAcentral's name for it is "partial 16S ribosomal RNA". It matches the Rfam family "Bacterial small subunit ribosomal RNA", at positions 338 to 795 of the family's 1533-position model. The record is from RNAcentral.
CCUACGUGAGACAGCAGUCGAGCAUCAUUCACAAUGGGGGAAACACUGAUGGUGCGACGCCGCGUGGGGGAAUGAAGGUCUUCGGAUUGUAAACCCCUGUCAUGUGGGAGCAAAUUAAAAAGAUAGACCACAAGAGGAAGAGACGGCUAACUCUGUGCCAGCUGCCGCGGUACUACAGAGGUCUCAAGCGUUGUUCGGAAUAACUGGGCGUAACGGGUGCGUAGGCUGUUUGGGAAGUCGUGUGUGAAUGUGGCGGGCUCAACCCGCGGACGGCACAUGAAACGGCGCGGCUAGAGUAAGGGAGAGGGAAGCGGAAUUCGCGGUGUAGCGGGGAAAUGCGUAGAUAUCGAGAGGAACACGCGUGGCGAAGGCGGGUUCCUGGACAUUAACUGACGCGGAGGCACGAAGGCCAGGGGAGCGAAAAGGAUUAGAUACCCUAGUAGGG